CCCGCUGAACUUAAGCAUAUCAAUAAGCGGAGGAAAAGAAACCAACAGGGAUUGCCUUAGUAACGGCGAGUGAAGCGGCAAUAGCUCAAAUUUGAAAGCUGGCCCCUUCGGGGUCCGCGUUGUAAUUUGUAGAGGAUGGUUCGGCGAGGGCUCCCGUCUAAGUCCCUUGGAACAGGGCGUCAUAGAGGGUGAGAAUCCCGUAUGUGAUGGGCUGCCUUAGCCAUGUGAACCUCCUUCGACGAGUCGAGUUGUUUGGGAAUGCAGCUCUAAAUGGGAGGUAAAUUUCUUCUAAAGCUAAAUACCGGCCAGAGACCGAUAGCGCACAAGUAGAGUGAUCGAAAGAUGAAAAGCACUUUGGAAAGAGAGUUAAAAAGUACGUGAAAUUGUUGAAAGGGAAGCGCUUGCAGCCAGACUUGUCCGCAGUUGCUCAGCCUGUCUCCUGACAGGCGCACUCUUCUGCGGCCAGGCCAGCAUCAGUUCGGGCGGUCGGAUAAAGACCCGGGGAAUGUAGCUCCUCUCGGGGAGUGUUAUAGCCCUGGGUGCAAUGCGGCCAGCCUGGACUGAGGAUCUCGCUUCGGCUAGGAUGCUGGCGUAAUGGCUGUAAGCGGCCCGU
RNAcentral lists this ribosomal RNA (613 nucleotides) under Neofusicoccum vitifusiforme. Its description in RNAcentral is "LSU rRNA". It matches the Rfam family "Eukaryotic large subunit ribosomal RNA", at positions 24 to 652 of the family's 3401-position model. Lineage: Eukaryota; Fungi; Ascomycota; Dothideomycetes; Botryosphaeriales; Botryosphaeriaceae. The record is from RNAcentral.